Molecule: ribosomal RNA, 485 nt
Filed under: uncultured bacterium
Lineage: Bacteria
Description: bacterial SSU rRNA
Rfam family: Bacterial small subunit ribosomal RNA
Source: RNAcentral
AACCGAGAACUCCUACGGGAGGCAGCAGUGGGGAAAUUUGGACAAUGGGGGCAACCCUGAUCCAGCAAUGCCGCGUGAGUGAAGAAGGCCUUCGGGUUGUAAAGCUCUUUUGUCAGGGAAGAAACGGUAGUAGCUAAUAUCUAUUACUAAUGACGGUAACUGAAGAAUAAGCACCGGCUAACUACGUGCUAGCAGCCGCGGUAAUCCGUAGGGUGCAAGCGUUAAUCGGAAUUACUGGGCGUAAAGCGUGCGCAGGCGGUUGUGUAAGUCAGAUGUGAAAUCCCCGGGCUCAUCCCGGGAAGUGCAUUUGAGACUGCACGGCUAGUGUGUGUCAGAGGGGGGUAGAAUUCCACGUGUAGCAGUGAAAUGCGUAGAUAUGUGGAGGAAUACCGAUGGCGAAGGCAGCCCCCUGAGAUAACACUGACGCUCAUGCACGAAAGCGUGGGGAGCAAACAGGAUUAGAAACACCGGUAGUCCGACUGAGA